This 253-nucleotide ribosomal RNA is filed under the name uncultured bacterium. Its description in RNAcentral is "partial 16S ribosomal RNA". It matches the Rfam family "Bacterial small subunit ribosomal RNA", at positions 524 to 776 of the family's 1533-position model. The record is from RNAcentral.
UACAGAGGCCUCGAGCGUUAGGCGGAAUCACUGGGCUUAAAGCGUGUGUAGGCGGAUUGGUAAGUACCUUGUGAAAUCCCACAGCUUAACUGUGGAACUGCUCGGUAUACUGCUGAUCUUGAGCCACUCAGGGGCUACCGGAACAAAUGGUGGAGCGGUGAAAUGCGUAGAUAUCAUUUGGAACGCCAAUGGUGAAAACAGGUAGCUGGGGGUGUGCUGACGCUGAGACACGAAGGCCAGGGGAGCAAACGGG